UCAAACAUCGCCCUGAGUCUUUCUAAGUCAUUUUAAACUACUGUUUUCAUAAGAAGAAACACAUCUUUAUGUUAUAGCUCAGCAAAUAAACCUGUUGGAAAAAAUCCAUAGUACGCCACUGAAUUGCUAUCAAAAGAGUGUCUGUAUAAUGCAGAAACAGAAACGGAGAUAAUGAAAAAAGUUGAAAUUUAAAUUUUGACCUAUAACUCGAAAACAAAUGAGAUAGAGGAAAGGAGUUGAUGGCAUUAUUAGUUUCUCGAAAAAUGACGACCUUAAUGUAUGCAUUUUCCUAUAGAUAUAGGAAACGAGAUCGUUGGGUUGAGAAAGUUGUAGUUCAGGUAUCACCAAUUUUGCCCACACUGUACAAUUUAUUGGGAUUUCGAAUGUAUCCUGCUGAGGAUUCUUUAAGUUGUGUCCACUAGAAGUAUUCUGGAAAUUUGUGAAUAAUGAACGGCCAGGUUCUUUUGAGUUAUCAAUUUAUUUGUCUUAGAUUUGUCAAUUUAAUGAAUUGUUAUAAUUUCCUAGUGACAAAAGUUACAGAGUCGACAUUAUACUGUUCGUUGUAUUCAUUGUUAGGUAUAUAUAUAUAUAACCCCAAAAAUUUCAUAAGUAAACUAAGAGCAUAGACAAAGAGAUAUGGACUGUGCCUUCCCUUUCUAUCUAUGCAUGAAAUAAGGUCAAAAAAGUGACAGAGAGAAACGCACGUCGGGCAUGCAGUUGCCUUUUUCUAGAAUUUUGAUUGGUCCACACUCAUCUCUAUGUGAACAAAAAGAGAGACAGGUAAAUAUAUCCGACGAUCAUUUCUCUCUUUCUAUAAAAAAGACAAUUUCAUGCUGACAUUGCUCAGUCCAUGUCUCUAUGUCUAUGACUAUGAGUUACCUGGACAUAGAAAUUAUGUGGCGUAUGCUUUUCUGCAGAGAUAACAUAUUUUGAGUUCUGUCAGAGAUAAUUCAGCAGUUCUUCGAGAUGACUGGUUGUGUUUAUUAGUUAUAAGGCUUGUUCGUAGAGUGGUUCAAAACGGUUGUGAACUGUACAGAGCAAGCGCAAUUCCAUUUUAGGGGGACGAAAAUCCAUUUGCGCUUGCUUUGUACAGUUCACAACCGUUUUGAACCACUCUACGAACAAGCCUAUUAUUUACGAACAACGUGGACAAUUAUGAUGUGAAUACUCAUGGUAGUGAUGAGGAAACAGGAAGGCCCAGAAGAUUCGGAGCUAGGAGGAAUUAUUUUGAGGAAUAUGUUGACCUGGAUUUCUUCUGUAGAUUCAGACUGCGGAAAAGACCGAAGAAAAUAUUUCACCUCAGAAUGAAUUUUUAUUGUCUAGGCAGCAGUUGCUACUAGCUCAGCAUUUUUAUGCCAGCGGGUCAUUUCUAAGAAUUGCAGGUGAUUUUGAAGCUGUGAGCAAGGCUACAGGAAGAAGUGUGAAAAGAGUUAGUGAAGCCAUUUCAUCAUCAAGACCUAAAUAUGAGUAGUUAGGCGAAAAUUUCUUGGUAUUGCUCAUUUUCCAAGGUGUAUUGGAGCAAUAGAUAGACUAUACUUAUUGAGAAAGGUUUGAAAGAGGUGAUUUUGGGGAUAGCCUAAUUAUAAGAUACGGUGGGUAUCCUGUGAAGUCUUACCUAAUUACUCCUUUACGGGAAGUCCCAAAUGAAGCGCAGACUUUAUUCAAAAAAUCACUGAUAAGAACAAGAAAUACAAUGGAAAGGAAGGCAUUUGGAAGCGAAGAAUCUCAGCUCAUUCAAUGAGAAUAUUAAAAGUAUAGAUACUAUACAAGCAAUGAUCCACAGUUUUUUACAACUUGUUAUGAAAAUGAAGGACACUUCAUCCUUCAAGAGGAGAAGAAGAAGCAAUGAAUUUAUAUCAAAAUGUUACUGUGCCCCCUCUAGGGAAUCAAGAAUUAUUGUCAAAUAAUAGAACUAGAGUGAAUCUUAUGAAUAGUUAUUAUGCAAAUUUGUUGAAUAAGAGUGAUGAAAUUUGAAUUUUUGAAAUAUAUCGAAGAAUUUCAAUUCAAAUUCAAAUAAUCAAUAAAAAUAAGCUUUUGAAGAAAUGUUGAGGAAAACACGUCAUAGAUAGAUAUAAAUUAUUUAAGGAACUUUAAGUUAUAAAUGCAAAACUUCAUUUUAUUUGAGUUUUUCAAUAAACUAAUAAUUUCUACUGGUCCAGCACAGUUGCACUGUUUUUCCUUAUUUCGUACAAGAAAAACCGAAGAGUAUUUACCGCUUCAGCUUCACUUAGGCCCAGUUUCACAAAAUAUGGUAAACCCAAAGUUAUGUAGUGACCAGUGGUUAAAUCAAAAAUUCUGUUUCACAAAGUGUGGUUUAUCGUUUGACCUAAAGUUAACUUGUGGUUGACUUGACCCCGAAAAUUUUAAGAGUUAACUAAGAGUUACCUGGACAUAUAAUUUUCGUGUCGUAUGCUUUUCUACAUAGAUAACAUAUUUUGAGUUCUGUCAGAGACAAUUCCGCAUUUCUUCGAUAUUACUGGUUAGGAAGCGUUUCACAUGUAUUUGGUGUUUAUUAGUUAUUAUUUACGAACAUCGUGGACGAUUAUGAUGUGAAUAUUCAUAGUAGUGAUGAGGAAACAAACGGUGAAGCCCAGAAGAUUUGGAGCUAGAAGGAAUUAUUUUGAGGAAUAUGUCGUUCGAAUUUCUUCUGUAGAUUCAGAAAUAGAGUGGAAAGGAAGCCAAGGAAGGCAUUUGGAAGCGAAGAAUCUCAGCUCCUUCAAUGAGAAUAUUAAAAGUAUUGAUGCAAGCAAUGAUGUGGACUUACAGUUUUUUUACAUAACAUAACUUGUAAUGAAAAUGAGGGACAACCUUCUUCAAGAGGAGGAAGCAGUGGACAUUUAUCAAAAUGUUGCUGUGCCCCCUAUAGGGUAUAGGGGAUCAAGAAUUAUUGUCAAAUAAUAGAACUAGAAGAACUAGACUGAAUCUUAUGAAUAGUUAUUAUGCAAAUAUGUUGAAUUAAAGUGAUGAAAUUUGAAUUUUUGAAAUAGAUCAAAGCAUUUCAAUUCAAACUCAAAUAAUCAAUACUACAUAAUUAAUCGCAAAUGAGUUUGCGAUCAACUCCAGAUGACUUAUAGAUAUUGAGCAACUGAACAAGUGAAAAUGCUCUUACCUACCCUAACUGGGUGAAGUCGAAACUCAGAUGAAUCUCCACUGGUCUGGUAUCAGAAAGGGGGUUCCUAAGGGAAGGGAAACACGGAACCAACCCUCCUUCUGCACUUAGCUCCGUGGCACGAUAUAUGAAGGACACACAGCACUUCACUUAAAGUUGCUCAAUAUCACUUUGGUUCACUCAAUAUAGAGAUAUGACAAAUGGUGCGAUGAUUUCGGCGAUAUAUAAGAAGAUUAUUAAGGUUUUGAGCGAGAAAGAUUUCGGCGCGUCCGGCGAUGAUACGAAUAAUAAUUGUCGUUAUUGACAGACGAAAAAGUUUUUCUUUCGUCGGCGCCUGACAAACCGGAGUCAGGCAACCCAACUCACGAUCGACCAAAUACAGAGUGAGAAAAAGUACACACUUGAUCUCAUUCGACAUAGAAUUCAGUGCUCUAUAGCUUUUCGCCCAAGUAAUUAGUCGAUAUCCGUAUUUCCUGAGGACAUAUGAUUGAAAAACUACAAAAACAUUUCAGGACAUAUUUCUUGGCCGCCGAAAGUUAUGCUCAAUUCCUUUAAAGGAAAAAACCUCAGAUGAUUUAAUUCGGUCACUGAUGAAGGCAUUUAAGCAAUAGAAAUCUUUUAUAGGCAAAAAAUCCUCAAUUCUCAAUUCAAACGGACUGAAAUGGAUGAGCUCUACGGGCGUGCACGCGCUACACUCGCUACAGAUCCCAUUUCAGGCGGAUCGCACGAACGAGCUCGUAGCCGCUUGAAAACGCCCGCUCGAAGUCGCCUGCAGUGGACAACGCUGUAUUGAAAUACGUUACUUGGGAUCUCUGUAGCGGCUUGCCGCACGUUUACGCUCGUUUCGCGUAAGCGCGUAGCCGCUCGAAUACGCUUCCAGUGGACACAUAUAAGCGGGGGUCCUACGGCCUCUGCCGCAUCCCGCAUUUCGAUCGCCAUCGUUUUCUAUCCCUCCAUUCAUCCUCAUCUAUUGCUCUAUCUCUCAUUGUAUUUUCUAUGCCCUUCAUCCAUGAUAUUGCUGGUCUUCCUUUCUUUCUCUAUUUAUUGGUGCAUAAUUGAGAGCUUUCUUCGGCCAUCUCGUGUUGUCCAUCCUCAUUACGUGUCCAUACCAUAUAAGCUGUCUCGUUUCUAUUCGUUCAGAGGUAAUGUGAUCUCUCUUUGAUCUUCUUAUCUCUGCAUUGGGGAUAUGUUCCAAUCUAGACAACCUAUUUGCUCUUCUGAGAAAGUCAACCUCCACAGUAUGGUCCUCUUGUUCUUUACGGAUAACUGUCAGCACUCUGAUCCAUAAGUCAUUAUGGGCUCUACAAUCGCUCUGUGAAUUGUCAUCUUUGUAUUCAAGACAAUUAAAGAUGAAUUUACAAGGGAAAGGAAGAAUACGAAACUACCUGAAAAUCAGACGACAUGAAUCACGUGACCGAAGUUUGAAUAUAAGCCUUAUGACGCGUUUCUAAGAAAUGAAAACUCGAAAUUGUUGCAAUGUUUCCUGAUUGUAGGAAACUACAAGGAAAUUGUUCGAAAAUUGUGUUCAUUCAGAAAAUGAAAUUCAAUUUGGAAAC
This is a long non-coding RNA of Coccinella septempunctata (seven-spotted ladybird), 4665 nucleotides long. RefSeq lists it as uncharacterized. The transcript has 2 exons. Lineage: Eukaryota; Metazoa; Arthropoda; Insecta; Coleoptera; Coccinellidae. The record is from RefSeq and is a predicted model, not a curated record.